Molecule: ribosomal RNA, 500 nt
Filed under: uncultured bacterium
Lineage: Bacteria
Description: partial 16S ribosomal RNA
Rfam family: Bacterial small subunit ribosomal RNA
Source: RNAcentral
GACGAACGCUGGCGGCGUGCCUAAUACAUGCAAGUCGAGCGGACCUCUUCGGAGGUUAGCGGCGGACGGGUGAGUAACACGUGGGCAACCUGCCUGUAAGACUGGGAUAACUUCGGGAAACCGGAGCUAAUACCGGAUAAUCCUUUCCCUCUCAUGAGGGAAAGCUGAAAGACGGUUUCGGCUGUCACUUACAGAUGGGCCCGCGGCGCAUUAGCUAGUUGGUGAGGUAACGGCUAACCAAGGCGACGAUGCGUAGCCGACCUGAGAGGGUGAUCGGCCACACUGGGACUGAGACACGGCCCAGACUCCUACGGGAGGCAGCAGUAGGGAAUCUUCCGCAAUGGACGAAAGUCUGACGGAGCAACGCCGCGUGAGCGAAGAAGGCCUUCGGGUCGUAAAGCUCUGUUGUCAGGGAAGAACAAGUAUCGGAGUAACUGCCGGUACCUUGACGGUACCUGACCAGAAAGCCACGGCUAACUACGUGCCAGCCGCCGCGGUAA